RNAcentral lists this transfer RNA (72 nucleotides) under Marmota marmota marmota (Alpine marmot). It matches the Rfam family "tRNA". Rfam says of the family: Transfer RNA (tRNA) molecules are approximately 80 nucleotides in length. Their secondary structure includes four short double-helical elements and three loops (D, anti-codon, and T loops). RNAcentral also lists the same sequence under 2 other names. The record is from Rfam by way of RNAcentral. Lineage: Eukaryota; Metazoa; Chordata; Mammalia; Rodentia; Sciuridae.
GGGGUUGUGGCUCAGUGGUAGAGUGCUCACCUAGCACAUGUGAGGCACUGGGUUCAAUCCUCAGUACCACUU